Molecule: ribosomal RNA, 463 nt
Filed under: uncultured bacterium
Lineage: Bacteria
Description: partial 16S ribosomal RNA
Rfam family: Bacterial small subunit ribosomal RNA
Source: RNAcentral
GACGAACGCUGGCGGCGUGCUUAACACAUGCAAGUCGAACGGUAAGGCUCCAGCUUGCUGGGGUACACGAGUGGCGAACGGGUGAGUAACACGUGGGUGACCUGCCCUGCACUUCGGGAUAAGCCUGGGAAACUGGGUCUAAUACCGGAUAGGACCGCACCGUGAGGGUGUGGUGGAAAGUUUUUUCGGUGUGGGAUGGGCCCGCGGCCUAUCAGCUUGUUGGUGGGGUAAUGGCCUACCAAGGCGGCGACGGGUAGCCGGCCUGAGAGGGUGGACGGCCACAUUGGGACCGAGACACGGCCCAGACUCCUACGGGAGGCAGCAGUGGGGAAUAUUGCACAAUGGGCGGAAGCCUGAUGCAGCGACGCCGCGUGGGGGAUGACGGCCUUCGGGUUGUAAACUCCUUUCACCAUCGACGAAGGGUUUCUGACGGUAGAUGGAGAAGAAGCACCGGCUAACUACG